Molecule: long non-coding RNA, 378 nt
Organism: Leptopilina heterotoma
Lineage: Eukaryota; Metazoa; Arthropoda; Insecta; Hymenoptera; Figitidae
Exons: 3
Source: RefSeq, a predicted model, not a curated record
AAAAAGAAUGAAAAAAAAUAUUAGAGAAAACGUUACAUAAAGUCAAAUUGUCUUUUUUUAUUUCAAAGUCGUGAGAGAUUCUAGUAUAAAUACGGAAAAUACGAAUAGUAAGCUCAUUGUAUCAUCAACAGUUUACGAAAUAACAAAUCCAAUCGUUGAUAUUGACUUGGAGCAAAAUGAAGAUUAUUUCUUCCUUGAUACUUAUAACAUUUGGAGUAUUAUUGAUUGCUAUGUCUGGAAAUUCCUACUCCAUGAGAGUCAACAAACAUUUAGCAAGUCCUGGAAAAUAAAACAGAAUGUUUUUUUCGAAAAUGUUCACAAUUUUUGUUUGUUUGUUACAAAAAUCAAUUAUGUGAAAUAAAUAAUUUAAAAAACUAA